GGCCAGACUCCUACGGGAGGCAGCAGUGGGGAAUAUUGCACAAUGGGGGAAACCCUGAUGCAGCGACGCCGCGUGAGUGAAGAAGUAUUUCGGUAUGUAAAGCUCUAUCAGCAGGGAAGAAAAUGACGGUACCUGACUAAGAAGCCCCGGCUAACUACGUGCCAGCAGCCGCGGUAAUACGUAGGGGGCAAGCGUUAUCCGGAUUUACUGGGUGUAAAGGGAGCGUAGACGGCAUGGCAAGUCAGAUGUGAAAGCCCGGGGCUCAACCCCGGGACUGCAUUUGAAACUGUCAGGCUGGAGUGCAGGAGAGGUAAGUGGAAUUCCUAGUGUAGCGGUGAAAUGCGUAGAUAUUAGGAGGAACACCAGUGGCGAAGGCGGCUUACUGGACUGUAACUGACGUUGAGGCUCGAAAGCGUGGGGAGCAAACAGGAUUAGAUACCCGAGUAGG
This 448-nucleotide ribosomal RNA is filed under the name uncultured bacterium. Its description in RNAcentral is "bacterial SSU rRNA". It matches the Rfam family "Bacterial small subunit ribosomal RNA", at positions 329 to 794 of the family's 1533-position model. The record is from RNAcentral.